AGUUAAGUUGAUUUCUUCGGAUUGAUUCUUAACUGACUGAGCGGCGGACGGGUGAGUAACGCGUGGGUGACCUGCCCCAUACCGGGGGAUAACAGCUGGAAACGGCUGCUAAUACCGCAUAAGCGCACGGUUUCGCAUGGAACAGUGUGAAAAACUCCGGUGGUGUGAGAUGGACCCGCGUCUGAUUAGCCAGUUGGCGGGGUAACGGCCCACCAAAGCGACGAUCAGUAGCCGGCCUGAGAGGGUGACCGGCCACAUUGGGACUGAGACACGGCCCAAACUCC
This 284-nucleotide ribosomal RNA is filed under the name uncultured Lachnospiraceae bacterium. Its description in RNAcentral is "partial 16S ribosomal RNA". It matches the Rfam family "Bacterial small subunit ribosomal RNA", at positions 59 to 339 of the family's 1533-position model. The record is from RNAcentral. Lineage: Bacteria; Bacillati; Bacillota; Clostridia; Lachnospirales; Lachnospiraceae.